RNAcentral lists this ribosomal RNA (694 nucleotides) under uncultured Bacteroides sp. RNAcentral describes it as "bacterial SSU rRNA". It matches the Rfam family "Bacterial small subunit ribosomal RNA", at positions 32 to 715 of the family's 1533-position model. The record is from RNAcentral. Lineage: Bacteria; Pseudomonadati; Bacteroidota; Bacteroidia; Bacteroidales; Bacteroidaceae.
AACGCUAGCUACAGGCUUAACACAUGCAAGUCGAGGGGCAGCAUGAACUUAGCUUGCUAAGUUUGAUGGCGACCGGCGCACGGGUGAGUAACGCGUAUCCAACCUUCCGUACACUCAGGGAUAGCCUUUCGAAAGAAAGAUUAAUACCUGAUGGUAUGAUGAGAUUGCAUGGUAACAUCAUUAAAGAUUCAUCGGUGUACGAUGGGGAUGCGUUCCAUUAGAUAGUAGGCGGGGUAACGGCCCGCCUAGUCGACGAUAGAUAGGGGUUCUGAGAGGAAGGUCCCCCACAUUGGAACUGAGACACGGUCCAAACUCCUACGGGAGGCAGCAGUGAGGAAUAUUGGUCAAUGGGCGCGAGCCUGAACCAGCCAAGUAGCGUGAAGGAUGAAGGUCCUACGGAUUGUAAACUUCUUUUAUAAGGGAAUAAAGUCACCCACGUGUGGGUGUUUGUAUGUACCUUAUGAAUAAGCAUCGGCUAACUCCGUGCCAGCAGCCGCGGUAAUACGGGGGAUGCGAGCGUUAUCCGGAUUUAUUGGGUUUAAAGGGAGCGUAGACGGGUCGUUAAGUCAGCUGUGAAAGUUUGGGGCUCAACCUUAAAAUUGCAGUUGAUACUGGCGUCCUUGAGUACGGUUGAGGCAGGCGGAAUUCGUGGUGUAGCGGUGAAAUGCUUAGAUAUCACGAAGAACUCCGAUUG